RNAcentral lists this ribosomal RNA (432 nucleotides) under uncultured bacterium. RNAcentral's name for it is "partial 16S ribosomal RNA". It matches the Rfam family "Bacterial small subunit ribosomal RNA", at positions 29 to 506 of the family's 1533-position model. The record is from RNAcentral.
AACGAACGCUGGCGGCAGGCCUAACACAUGCAAGUCGAGCGCACCCUUCGGGGUGAGCGGCGGACGGGUGAGUAACGCGUGGGAACGUGCCCUUCUCUGCGGAAUAGCCUCGGGAAACUGAGAGUAAUACCGCAUACGCCCUUUGGGGGAAAGAUUUAUCGGAGAAGGAUCGGCCCGCGUUGGAUUAGGUAGUUGGUGGGGUAAUGGCCCACCAAGCCGACGAUCCAUAGCUGGUUUGAGAGGAUGAUCAGCCACACUGGGACUGAGACACGGCCCAGACUCCUACGGGAGGCAGCAGUGGGGAAUCUUAGACAAUGGGGGCAACCCUGAUCUAGCCAUGCCGCGUGAGUGAUGAAGGCCUUAGGGUUGUAAAGCUCUUUCAGCUGGGAAGAUAAUGGCGGUACCAGCAGAAGAAGCCCCGGCUAACUCCGU